Oreochromis aureus is the source of this 1046-nucleotide long non-coding RNA. The record is from Ensembl. Lineage: Eukaryota; Metazoa; Chordata; Actinopteri; Cichliformes; Cichlidae.
AGAGAAUGCAUUAAUCUUACAGAGACAAGCUCAUGAAGAUUAAUGAAUAGAUAUUAAAAACCUGGCUAAGAACACAAGCAUAUGCAAUGAAGAUCUGCUUGCUGCUUGUAUGAGUGAGAGAAUGGUGUGAAUGGUUAAUACAACUGAUGGAAAGAUUUAAAAUAGAUGGAAAAAACAAAAGAAGAGUGUUUAUAAGAGUGACUCAGCAGUGCUUUUGCACUGAGUGAUUAAAACAAGUGAUUAGUAUAGAAAGAAAAUGAAAAUAAUUCAAUAAUGUGAUAAAGUUUAAACAUGUAUUCCUCUUGUUAAGUUGGCUGUUGAGCUGUGGGUUUAUGCAAAUUAGCUGGAGUGAGUGAGUGACAAAGACACUUCCUGUGUGCGUGUGUGUCGGAGGCUUUCGGUUCAGUUCAAGAGAGAGCAGUGGCUGUUGAAGAGUAUUGGGAGAAAUAUAUAAUGGUAAAGUAUCAGGAUAUUUGAUUACGGUGGUCAGGUCUGUUCAGAGGGGCAGAUUUGGACAGGAAAUUUAUAAUUUAAGGAUGAUACGUUGUUGAAAUUGGUUUUUAUCUUGUGCUGAAUGAAAACGGUCUUUGAUCUUUUGACGAGGUUUUCGUGUGUUGAAUGGGUGAAAUUUAAGAUUGUUUCAGAUUUUUGAGGCUGUUGUUUUAUUUCCAGAGAGGGUGUUUAAUUAAGACAUGGAUCUGUCUGAGAGGGGCCCCAAAAAUUUUUUUUUGUAGUAGUGCACUCAGGAAAAACCUGUCAGGUGAUUUUGUUUGGUACUUUGAUGAGCUAAUAAUCAGCUCUCUUUUUUUCAUUUUUGUUCUAAGCAGGCCUGGAAGAGAGUGAACGGACGGCGCUGACAAAAUUACCAAGUACGAAAAUCAGGAAAUUCCAAGGAUCCAGAGUUCAAUGGAGCAACGAGUUGGAGAAGAUUUGACAUGAUGAUUAAAUUGAUUUUGUUCUUUAAACACAGGUUUUCAGGGCUAAAGCAAAACACCGGAGAGGAGAAUUGCUGAGCUGUUCUGAGAAAUGAAAUGACUAACCUUUUU